RNAcentral lists this transfer RNA (76 nucleotides) under archaeon. RNAcentral describes it as "tRNA-Asn". It matches the Rfam family "tRNA". From Rfam's summary of the family: Transfer RNA (tRNA) molecules are approximately 80 nucleotides in length. Their secondary structure includes four short double-helical elements and three loops (D, anti-codon, and T loops). The record is from RNAcentral. RNAcentral also lists the same sequence under 1 other name.
GCCGCGGUAGCUCAGGGGCUAGAGCGUCGGGCUGUUAACCCGAAGGUCGCCGGUUCGAAUCCGGCCCGCGGCGCCA